GGAUUGCCUCAGUAACGGCGAGUGAAGCGGCAUGAGCCCAAAUUUGAAAUCCAGCUCCGCAUGGGGUUCGAGUUGUAAUUUGGAGAGGAUGCUUUGGCGACGGCCCCGGGGGCAGUGCCCUGGAACGGGACGCCACAGAGGGUGAGAGCCCCGUACCACUCGGUGGACCGCCGCCGUACGAAGCGCCUUCGACGAGUCGAGUUGUUUGGGAAUGCAGCUCUAAGCGGGAGGUAAAUUUCUUCUAAGGCUAAAUACCGGCCAGAGACCGAUAGCGCACAAGUAGAGUGAUCGAAAGAUGAAAAGCACUUUGGAAAGAGAGUUAAAAAGCACGUGAAAUUGUUGAAAGGGAAGCUCUUGCUGCCAGACGUGCCGCGACCGCUCAGCCGCCCCCCGGGGUGGUGUACUCGGUCGCGGCGGGCCAGCGUCGGUUCGGGCGGUCGGACAAAGGCCUGGGGAACGUAGCCCCCCGCGGGGGGUGUUAUAGCCUCGGGCGUCAUGCGGCCAGCCUGGAUCGAGGGCCGCGUUCGCGAGGACGCUGGCGUAAUGGUCGCAAGCGACCCGUCUUGAAACACGGACCAAGGAGUCUAACAUCUGUGCGAGUGUUCGGGUGUCAAACCCGUGCGCGUAAUGAAAGUGAACGGAGGUGGGACCCCUCACGGGCGCACCAUCGACCGAUCCUGAUGUCCUCGGAUGGAUUUGAGUAGGAGCAUGGCUGUUGGGACCCGAAAGAUGGUGAACUAUGCGUGUUUAGGGUGAAGCCAGAGGAAACUCUGGUGGAGGCUCGCAGCGGUUCUGACGUGCAAAUCGAUCGUCAAAAAUGCGUAUAGGGGCGAAAGACCAAUCGAACCAUGAGCCUUCGGCUUCCCAGUCCACUAGGUGGUUGAGAGGCGUCCCCCCAAUAGGAGGGUGCGUCUAGUCGCGGGGCCCCCCUUGAAGGGGGGGUCCGCUAGGCGAUGUUAUCAAACUGCAGGGACCCCUCGAUCAAUUGCAAGCUACCGCCCCCCCGGGGGGCACCGGCGCUGGGGGCGUCGGGGACGGUAAGAACGCUUGCGGUUGGAGGCGACCUGCAGCCACGCCUCCGCGCUCACCGGCGCGGGGCUCAGUCCACAGGCUAUACGGUGAUGGACGGGGGCGUGACCCCCCGUCGAAGAUAUAGUCGACCCCCCGGCGUGAGCCGGGGCCAUGCCACCCCCCGGGACCGCGUGGGGGGGGGUGCGCCAGGCGGAACGCACAGCCAUUGCUAGUAGCUGGUUCCUGCCGAAGUUUCCCUCAGGAUAGCAGUAACGUAUUCAGUUUUAUGAGGUAAAGCGAAUGAUUAGAGGCCUUGGGGUUGAAACAACCUUAACCUAUUCUCAAACUUUAAAUAUGUAAGAAGCCCUUGUUGCUUAAGUGAACGUGGGCCGUCGAAUGCACCGUUACUAGUGGGCCAUUUUUGGUAAGCAGAACUGGCGAUGCGGGAUGAACCGAACGCGAGGUUAAGGUGCCGGACUGCACGCUCAUCAGACCCCACAAAAGGUGUUAGUUCAUCCAGACAGCCGGACGGUGGCCAUGGAAGUCGGAAUCCGCUAAGGAGUGUGUAACAACUCACCGGCCGAAUGAACUAGCCCUGAAAAUGGAUGGCGCUCAAGCGUGCGACCCAUACCUCGCCGCCGGGGCAGGACCGACGCCCCGGCGAGUAGGCAGGCGCGGAGGCCCGUGACGAAGCCUCGGGGGUGACCCCGGGUCGAACGGCCUCUGGUGC
This 1741-nucleotide ribosomal RNA is filed under the name Arthonia sp. Ertz 7775. Its description in RNAcentral is "partial large subunit ribosomal RNA". It matches the Rfam family "Eukaryotic large subunit ribosomal RNA", at positions 72 to 1445 of the family's 3401-position model. Lineage: Eukaryota; Fungi; Ascomycota; Arthoniomycetes; Arthoniales; Arthoniaceae. The record is from RNAcentral.